GACGAACGCUGGCGGCGUGCCUAAUACAUGCAAGUUGAGCGCUGAAGGCUGGUACUUGUACCAACUGGAUGAGCAGCGAACGGGUGAGUAACGCGUGGGGAAUCUGCCUUUGAGCGGGGGACAACAUUUGGAAACGAAUGCUAAUACCGCAUAAAAACUUUAAACACAAGUUUUAAGUUUGAAAGAUGCAAUUGCAUCACUCAAAGAUGAUCCCGCGUUGUAUUAGCUAGUUGGUGAGGUAAAGGCUCACCAAGGCGAUGAUACAUAGCCGACCUGAGAGGGUGAUAGGCCACAUUGGGACUGAGACACGGCCCAAACUCCUACGGGAGGCAGCAGUAGGGAAUCUUCGGCAAUGGACGAAAGUCUGACCGAGCAACGCCGCGUGAGUGAAGAAGGUUUUCGGAUCGUAAAACUCUGUUGGUAGAGAAGAACGUUGGUGAGAGUGGAAAGCUCAUCAAGUGACGGUAACUACCCAGAAAGGGACGGCUAACUACGUG
This 497-nucleotide ribosomal RNA is filed under the name uncultured bacterium. RNAcentral's name for it is "partial 16S ribosomal RNA". It matches the Rfam family "Bacterial small subunit ribosomal RNA", at positions 28 to 507 of the family's 1533-position model. The record is from RNAcentral.